RNAcentral lists this ribosomal RNA (305 nucleotides) under uncultured bacterium. Its description in RNAcentral is "bacterial SSU rRNA". It matches the Rfam family "Bacterial small subunit ribosomal RNA", at positions 335 to 655 of the family's 1533-position model. The record is from RNAcentral.
AUCCUACGGGACGCAGCAGUGGGGAAUAUUGGGCAAUGGGCGCAAGCCUGACCCAGCAACGCCGCGUGAAGGAAGAAGGCUUUCGGGUUGUAAACUUCUUUUAAGAGGGACGAAGGAAGUGACGGUACCUCUUGAAUAGGCCACGGCUAACUACGUGCCAGCAGCCGCGGUAAUACGUAGGUGGCAAGCGUUAUCCGGAUUUACUGGGUGUAAAGGGCGUGUAGGCGGGACUGCAAGUCAGAUGUGAAAAUUAUGGGCUCAACCCAUAACCUGCAUUUGAAACUGUAGUUCUUGAAUGAUGGAAG